Long non-coding RNA from Cottoperca gobio, 726 nucleotides. RefSeq lists it as uncharacterized. The transcript has 4 exons. NCBI's taxonomy places the organism in Eukaryota, Metazoa, Chordata, Actinopteri, Perciformes, Bovichtidae. The record is from RefSeq and is a predicted model, not a curated record.
AAUGAGACAGCAUACGUUUCACUGUGUGACGGGGCCUUAAAGAAGCAGUCUUGUAUGUUACAGUGUUGGAAAGUAGCUAGAUAUCGAUUGCUGCUGCUGCUCCUUCAUGAAUGUCAGUAACGCUGUUACGCUGAUAUUUCCAGCUGGACUGAAGAGAUGGACCAACCAACAGACCUGAAAACCUCUGCAACUAUCUGCCUGGCCAGAUUCUCAUCGGGAAAGUUUGAGGGUUACCUGCCGGCCCUUCUCCUCCUUUAGUGUGUGAAUCUCCUUGCCGAGGAUCUGGGACCUGCUGCGGCUCUCUCUCAGGGUGGACUUUCUGUCUGAGUUGUGCCCUGUGGUCUGCUCUGAAAGGGUUCAACAACAGCGAAGAGAGAAAAAGCAGAGGAUAGUAAGCAUGUUAACAGUGAACGAAGAAUAAGAAAAUGGAGAAAAGAUGAGUGAAGUAAAUGGGGGCCAACAAAUGAGACUCUUUUCUGAUGCUUUGUUAACCAUGGAGGCUUGCAAGACAAAUUCAAUGUAUAACUGAUAUAUCAAUGAUCAUUUAGUGGGUGAAGUAUUCCUUUAAGAUGUUUUUCAGGGUUUCAUAAUAUGUGAAGUGUAUAAAGAUAAAAAGAUGGUAAUUGUUGUUGUAUUAACUUGCUUCUGGAACUUAUUGAAGUUACUUUUAAUAAGUUACAAACAAUGAGUAGGGAAAUUUGUACUACAGACACAUGUGUGCUGACU